UGCCAGCCGCCGCGGUAAUACGGAGGGUGCGAGCGUUAAUCGGAAUCACUGGGCGUAAAGCGUGUGUAGGCUGCGCGGAAAGUCAAAUGUGAAAGCCAAGGGCUCAACCCUUGAACUGCAUUCGAUACUCCCGUGCUAGAGUAAUGGAGAGGUAAGUGGAAUUCUCGGUGUAGCAGUGAAAUGCGUAGAUAUCGAGAGGAACAUCAAUGGCGAAGGCAACUUACUGGACAUUUACUGACGCUCAGACACGAAGGCUAGGGGAGCGAAAGGGAUUAGAUA
This 279-nucleotide ribosomal RNA is filed under the name uncultured bacterium. Its description in RNAcentral is "partial 16S ribosomal RNA". It matches the Rfam family "Bacterial small subunit ribosomal RNA", at positions 506 to 784 of the family's 1533-position model. The record is from RNAcentral.